RNAcentral lists this ribosomal RNA (440 nucleotides) under uncultured bacterium. RNAcentral describes it as "partial 16S ribosomal RNA". It matches the Rfam family "Bacterial small subunit ribosomal RNA", at positions 338 to 795 of the family's 1533-position model. The record is from RNAcentral.
CCUACGGGAGACUGCAGUGGGGAAUAUUGCACAAUGGUGGAGACCCUGAUGCAGCGACGCCGCGUGAGUGAAGAAGUAUUACGGUAUGUAAAGCUCUAUCUGCAGGGAAGAAAAUGACGGUACCUGACUAAGAAGCCCCGGCUAACUACGUGCCAGCAGCCGCGGUAAUACGUAGGGGGCAAGCGUUAUCCGGAUUUACUGGGUGUAAAGGGAGCGUAGACGGCAGCACAAGUCUGGAGUGAAAGGCCGGGGCUUAACCCCGGACCUGCGUUGGAAACUGUGCAGCUAGAGUGCAGGAGAGGUAAGUGGAAUUCCUAGUGUAGCGGUGAAAUGCGUAGAUAUUAGGAGGAACCCCAGUGGCGAAGGCGGCUUACUGGACUGUAACUGACGUUGAGGCUCGAAAGCGUGGGGAGCAAACAGGAUUAGAUACCCUGGUAGUC